RNAcentral lists this ribosomal RNA (1128 nucleotides) under Triticum aestivum (bread wheat). Its description in RNAcentral is "partial small subunit ribosomal RNA". The record is from RNAcentral. Lineage: Eukaryota; Viridiplantae; Streptophyta; Magnoliopsida; Poales; Poaceae.
AUGGUGCUCGGCGGCUGCGGCAACGGAGGUGAUGGUGCGCGAGCCAACCAGUUCAACGGAGGCAGGAGCACGGGGCAGCGGCAGCAGCAUGGAGGGUGUCCUCUUGGUUGGGAAGGUAAUGGAAAUGCAAAUAGGAGUGGUAGUGGCAACCAUGAUGCAAAUCCAAAUGAUUCCGAAAAAUCUUGGAAAGGAAUUAAAGAUAAUAACUUGUAUGAUCCUUGGAACCAUGCAUGGCCGUAUUAUGGGGGUUUUGAUUGUGUGUACUGCAGCCUAAAGCACAAAGGUGGAGGUGCAACCCGUGUUGCGGAGCACCUUGGUGGUAUUGUAGGUAAUGUGAGGAGCUGCCCCAAUGUGCCAAGAAAUGUGAGAGAUGCAAUGAGAGAGUGCCGGGAUGAAUCAAAGAGGAAGAAAAGAGACAAACAAAAUAGCAGGCUGAGAAUUGAAAGAAAUAUUAUGGAAGGGUUGUAUCAAAAAGGAGGGGUGAUUAACAUACUAGAUGAUGAAGAAGAAGAAAUACAGAUGAAUAUUAGAGAGGCCUUGCGUGACCCGAGUGUCUCCCACAGAGUUGAAAGGAGGAUUGGUAGGGGGGGCGUGGGUGAUGUGCGGGUUUCUGUUGGCAAAAGGAGUAUCACUGCCUAUUUUGACAAACAAUUAUCCAGCAACAAAGUAUCUAUGCGGCCCAAGAUCACUAGUGCUUUGGAUCCUAAUUCAAGAGAUGCACUUGGCCUAGCUUGGUCCAAGUUUUUUCAUGCCAAUGAUAUUGCUGGACGUAAAGCUGAUUGCCCAUACUUCCGAGCUGCUGUGAAGAUCACUCAACAAUUAGGGCCUGCUCCUAUACCAACCGCGAAGGAGAUUGAUGGGAAAUAUUUGGAGGCUAACUAUGAUGAAGCUACUUCCUUUCUUCAAAAAUUUAAACAAGAUUGGAAAAACUUCGGUGUGACUCUUAUGUGUGACUCUUGGACUGGUCCAACAGGAAUGAGCCUCAUAAACUUCAUGGUAUAUUGUAAUACACGAAUGUUCUUCCUCAAUACCAUGAUGAGGAGAAUGAGUAUGUCGAAACUGAGAGUGAGGAUGACGACGAAGAUAAUGAGUAUGUUGAUAAUGAGAGUGAGGAUGAUGAUGGGGUGA